Molecule: RNA transcript, 712 nt
Organism: Mus musculus (house mouse)
Lineage: Eukaryota; Metazoa; Chordata; Mammalia; Rodentia; Muridae
Gene: Clca4c-ps
Gene name: chloride channel accessory 4C, pseudogene
Exons: 4
Source: RefSeq, marked validated
GGUCUUUUCGCCUCUGCAAUCAAGCUCUCCCAAUAAACGUGUGCAGAAGGAUCCUGUUGUGGCGUCAUUCUUGCUGGCGAGUCAAGCGUGCACAAGAACUGCUAACAGGUGAUGUUUAGGAGUAUAUAUAGACCUGCCAAGAGACACAGAGAAGGAAAGGCCUCUGGGCAACCAGGCUAGAAGGAUGGCAACCUCCAGGGGGCCUGUUUUCCUCCUCCUCCUCCUCCUGUACCUGCUUCAGAUGUCAGACACUUCCUUGAUAAAGCUGAAUGAGAAUGGUUAUGAAGACAUCAUUAUUGCCAUUGAUCCUGCUGUGCCAGAAGAUACAACAAUAAUUGAACGCAUGAAGGAAAUGGUGACUAAAGCAUCUACAUACCUUUUUGAAGCUACAGAAAAAAGAUUUUUCUUCAAAAAUGUAUCUAUAUUAAUUCCUGAGAGUUGGAAAGACAGUCCCCAUUACAGAAGGCCAAAACGGGAGAGUUACAAGCAUGCUGACAUUAAAGUGGCACCUCCCGCCUUCAUGGGCAGAGAUGAGCCCUACACCAGGCAGUUCACACAGUGUGAAGAGAAAGCAGAAUACAUCCACUUCACCCCUGACUUUGUACUGGGAAGAAAACAAGAUGAAUAUGGAGAUUCAGGUGGAGAAUUUGGUUAAAGCAUUGCAUGUUUGUGACACGUAACUCUAUACUCUAUUAAAUAAUCAGAUUGGAAC